UUCGAGUGGCGGACGGGUGAGUAACGCGUGGGUAACCUGCCUUACACAGGGGGAUAACACCUGGAAACAGGUGCUAAUACCGCAUAAGCGCACAGGGCCGCAUGGCCCGGUGUGAAAAACUCCGGUGGUGUAAGAUGGACCCGCGUCUGAUUAGCUUGUUGGCGGGGUAGGGGCCCACCAAGGCGACGAUCAGUAGCCGGCCUGAGAGGGCGGACGGCCACAUUGGGACUGAGACACGGCCCAAACUCCUACGGAAGGCAGCAG
Molecule: ribosomal RNA, 264 nt
Filed under: uncultured bacterium
Lineage: Bacteria
Description: partial 16S ribosomal RNA
Rfam family: Bacterial small subunit ribosomal RNA
Source: RNAcentral